Molecule: long non-coding RNA, 1340 nt
Organism: Brienomyrus brachyistius
Lineage: Eukaryota; Metazoa; Chordata; Actinopteri; Osteoglossiformes; Mormyridae
Exons: 3
Source: RefSeq, a predicted model, not a curated record
GUACAUUUAGCUAAUGCAUGUUUAAUCCAUCCAUCUUCCAUAAAAGUUUAUUCGGUACAGGGUGGUGGUGAACCUGGAACCUACCACAGGAAGCACAUGGGCAAAGAGAGGGAGAGGGAGAGAGAGGGGGACAGAAGGACGAAAACGGAGAAGAAGGGAAAUAGAGAGAGAGCGAGGGAAAAGAGAAAAAAAAAGAAGAAAGAAAACCACAGAUAAUCUGCUUCAAUACCUGCUGAUGAGAGAAAACAACAACCAACAUCUGUACGAGUGACAAUGAGCAUGUUAAGGAGCAACAGCCGAUCAAGACAGUGUGUGUCUUAGUGUGUGUGGGGAGCCACAGCCCCAUCCCUCAGGACAUGAAGCAGACACGGAGGAGGCCCGGACCCCAGACAGCCAGAGGCCCCCCAGGGCAUGGGAGCCCCCGGAGGACCACCGCAGGGAGAAUAGCAGCCCCUCACCCAGAAAAGGGCAGAGGAGAGCUCCGGAGGGAGGCCAUCCGGCAGCCACAGUGCAGGAGCCCCAGGGGGCCGUGGCGGCGAGCCCGCAGGCUCCACCGGCGGCCAGCCCCACCAGGGCAGACCAGGCCCUGGGCCCAGAGAUCCAAGGGCCCCCCCAGCAAGGGCCCGACAGAGCCAGGAGGGCCAGAUCCCGCCAGGCAACCGCCGAGGGCGAGCCAGCACCCACCCGAGCACCCAGCCCUGGACAUCGAGAACCACCAACGCACCAGUGGCCAGGGGCCCCAUCCACCAGCAGGGAGUGUGGCGGGGGGGGAAUAGAGCCCGAGAUGUUAUUUCAGGUGGAGUCUAGAACCCAACCUGACACAUGCAUAUAGACAAACAGGCACACACAUAUACAAGCAUACGUUCCCACCCUCAUGCACACAUAAACAAAUAUUUACACAUUCACCCAACAUAGAGACACACAGAAAUGAACGCUGUACACACACUCUCACUCCCCGUAUAUACUCUCUGUGGACCCCAUUUUUUUCCUCUGGCGAGGAAACCGGAAGACCACCCUGGACCCCGCAGCAGCCGAGAAGCGCACCAGCCCAGACCCCGACCAGACGGCCAGAUCAGUGACCUUUCAAAGUCAGAUCGUGGACUUUUAUCGUCGAGAUCAUGUAUGAUCUUCAACACAUCAGUGAUAAUUGGCCUGCACGCCGCAUUGGCCUUCACUAGAUCGUUGGCUUUGACGAUCUUCAUAAAGUACUCCGGAUCCAUACGAGCCAUGCGAAUCUACACAGGAAACAAAAAUGAGAGAAUUCCCAUGAGUUCCUUAGUGCUUUCUGUGAAUCUCUGGAGAUGAGCAAUUCCUAACAUUAAAGGUACAUUAGCUGAAGC